Molecule: long non-coding RNA, 253 nt
Organism: Armigeres subalbatus
Lineage: Eukaryota; Metazoa; Arthropoda; Insecta; Diptera; Culicidae
Exons: 2
Source: RefSeq, a predicted model, not a curated record
GUUCUCAACAGCUAUAGCGGAAGAAAAUGGAAGAAAAUACCUUUUGGAGAACCGACUCAAUUUUUCUUGGACAUGAUUUGGUCAGUAUCGUAUUCUCCUUCGAUGCGGCUUCCCGGACCCGGAUGCUCGAGAAAAAUCAUAAACGAUGCAGAACUCGCUGAUAUAAAUGUUAAAUUAUACGUAAAAUUAACAUAAUUUUUCACGGAAAACAUGAAUUUAAUGUGGAAAUAUACAAUGUGAGUGUAAACUACAA